AUCUCUAUUCUUUCUCAUUUUUUUUCAUUUUAUUUAUUUUUAAGUUAAGGUCGCUUUGCACCCGUAUAUAUACAAGGAUCGCUUUGCGCCCGUAUCUAUACAAGGAUACAAGGUCGCUUUGCGCCCAUACAAGAAAAAGAUAUAAUUACCAGAGGCGAAUGGCUUAGCGAUACACAUAAAUAAUUUCCAACGACUUUUAGAAAGUUGUUCAGAUUAUAGACCUGUUGAUACAGUGCUAAUACAGCAUCCUGAUUCAAUAGAACCCAUACCGAGAAAGAGAAAGCAUAUCCAGGUACUACAUAGUUCGUUGGGAGGAGAACAUUGGGUAUGUAGUUAUUAUGAUACAAAAAACAUGUAUUUACGAUUCUUUAAAUAAUAAAAUGUUACAUGAGCAUCAUAAACAA
This is a long non-coding RNA of Ooceraea biroi (clonal raider ant), 404 nucleotides long. RefSeq lists it as uncharacterized. NCBI's taxonomy places the organism in Eukaryota, Metazoa, Arthropoda, Insecta, Hymenoptera, Formicidae. The record is from RefSeq and is a predicted model, not a curated record.